UUAAGAUAAAACAGAAAAGUCAAAAUCAAACUUUGAGUCCCUAGGAUAUGGGCCGAUGUCUAUAGCCAAAUCAUCGUGGGCAGAAAUGUCACAACUCAAAAUCAUUAAAUCUUCCUCUUAUACGAAUAUGAGGCAUACAAACUUUUCUUCAAGGUGUUCUUUUUUUAAUAUGAAAAGAACCCUUUAAGAAGAGUGUUAAAAGAAAUCAUACUAGAAAAGCUUAAUUAUUACAACAAAAAUAGAGCAAAUAAAGGAAAUCAUUCACUUUAAAUGAUUGCAAGGUGGUAAUCAAAUUCAAAAGGAAUGAUGCAUAGUUCAUUACAAUUUGUUUUAGGUUUCAAAGCUCCGACACUAAGGUAUAGGCAUAAAGGAAUAUAAACGUACUGACAGGUGAUGAAAAUGUAUAUGCAAGAUUACAGCUUCUUGUAUCCCGUGCUAGACUAAAGUUAUCCGAAACUUAAUUUAUCCGAUUUCAUAUCAACUAGUAUUGCUAUUAAUGAAAUAAAAUUGAACAAGAUCUACUCAAAUAUGUGGAAUUCUUCUUCUAACAUAUCCAAACAUUAAUAAUAUCCAAAACAAUACAACUAAAACAAUAAAAACGACAAAUAUACUAAAAUUUAAAUUAUAUUAUUCAAACGGUCAGUCGAUUUUUAUUUUACA
This is a long non-coding RNA of Ruditapes philippinarum (Manila clam), 660 nucleotides long. RefSeq lists it as uncharacterized. NCBI's taxonomy places the organism in Eukaryota, Metazoa, Mollusca, Bivalvia, Venerida, Veneridae. The record is from RefSeq and is a predicted model, not a curated record. The transcript is spliced from 2 exons.